RNAcentral lists this long non-coding RNA (1545 nucleotides) under Malus domestica (apple). Its description in RNAcentral is "long non-coding RNA (MDOM_LNC003308)". The record is from RNAcentral. Lineage: Eukaryota; Viridiplantae; Streptophyta; Magnoliopsida; Rosales; Rosaceae.
ACCUGUUAGCGCCCGAUGUGCUCACUGGUGCCCCGCACUCAAGACCAGGUGUCGCCAUCAGGAUCCAUAACUAGACUUGGCAUUCAUGUCGUGUUUUUCUUGUUCGUGUCAUUUUCGUGUCAUACCCAAUAUCUUAACGGGUCGUGUCGUGUAACACCCAUUAAAAUAAACAAGUAAAAUGACCCGACCCGAAAUCGACCCGAUAAUAUUAACAGGUAAUAUGACCCGAUCCGUUACCUGUUAAGGAAAAUAUAUUUUAAACCAAUAAAUAAUCAAAUGAAAAACAUAAUACUAAAUAAGUAUAUACAUAUCAUAUUGUCACAUCCAAAACUUAAAACACAUUUUUCUUUUAAUUAUAUUUUUCACUUACCUAAAGUCUUUAAUAGUUUUUUAAUUAAUGUAGAAGUGUAAAAAAAUAUAGAAAAAAUAUAUAAACGCUCGUAAUGACAAGCUUUACAACUUUCAUGAAGAGCUUAACUUCGAAAUUCGCCACUAUAAUCAUAUAAAUCAUAGAUCAAAAUUUAAUCGUUGAUUGUUGUUUACAUUUACGCUUCAUUCUUCUCAUCAAAUUUUUUUUUUUUCAGAAUUUUUUUUUGUUGAAAACUUGAUCUAUUAGAGGAUGCAGGAUGAUGAACGGUUUGGAUCGUUGAUAUUAUAUUCAGAGUUUUACAAUUAGUGAAAAUAUUGGUUGAUGUUUAUAAAGUUUCUACAAACUAUAUGACAUCGACUCAUAUUUCAGUUAACCGUAAAUAUCAAAACAUGAUAUCAAAGAUCUGAACCGUUCAUCUUCUUACAUCCGCCAUAUGAUCAUAUUUUCAAAAAAGAAAACUUUAAAAAUGAAAUUCAGUAAGAAAAAUAAAGUGUAAAUGGCAAUCGACGGCUAAAUAUAAAUUUAAGGUUUAUGAAUUAUAGUGUUGGAUUUUGAAGCUGACCCCUUCAUGAAAGUUGUAAAGUUUGUCACUAUGAGUGAUUGUACAUUUUUUUUACAUUUUUUUUUACACUUCUACAAUAAUUAUUAUUAAUUUUAUUAAUUUUCCCUCAAAUAAAAAACAUUAUUCAUGAAGGUUUGAAGAUUUUAAAAAUCUAAACGAUAAUGUAAGUGUAACCAUUAUUUACUCGUGGAAGAAUAAUGAUGAAUCAUGAGUGUUUAUAUAUUCUUUCACAUUUUUCAUACUUGUAUGUAUGUCUUCUUAAUUCUUGUCUAUACAAAUACUAUAUUAGUUUAUUUUAAUUUUGGACAACAACAUAUUAAGUAAGAUUUAUCCUAGUAAUGAUAAUAAGGAACUGUCAUAAUAAAGAUAAAUAAUGACUAAAACAUUUUUUUUAAACUUAUACAUAAUAAUAAUACAAAACUAUAUAUUUAAUAUAGAAUAUAUUGUAUAUAUUAAUAUGGCUAUUGUAUUUUAUAAUAAUUUUUUUCUCAACGGGUCGAAACGAGUUACCCACGUGUUACACGUGUGUAUACCUGUUAAGAACCCGUUAUUAACGAGUUCUUAAUGGGUCACCCGAUAAUGACCCGAUAAGUUAUUGUGUUGACCCAAAACC